Long non-coding RNA from Phacochoerus africanus (Common warthog), 1037 nucleotides. RefSeq lists it as uncharacterized. NCBI's taxonomy places the organism in Eukaryota, Metazoa, Chordata, Mammalia, Artiodactyla, Suidae. The transcript has 4 exons. The record is from RefSeq and is a predicted model, not a curated record.
GGUCCCAGAUUAGCUACCCUGUAUCUGAAUGGGGUCCCUGCCUAUUCCAGACAGGGCAGGCUGAGGGUUCCGCUGUCAGUAUCAGCACCCGUCCUGUCCAGGGGAGUGGCUGUUUUGGUUUAGUUGCCCUGUGUGUCAUGUGUCUGAGAGUCAGCAGGGUGGCACCUCUGGAGAUGCUGCUUAAAACUGCCACCCAGCUCAAGGCCAGUUCUUCUCAUGGGGCAGAGUUAGAGGCUGAUGACUACAGUAAGUGGCACCAAGAUAAAGGGACAGUCUGAACGCGACCAUCCUGACCCCUUUAAGGUGAAGAAAUGCAGGAAUCAGAGCUGGGAGGGCCUGGCCAACGAGGGGCACCCAGGCAGUCCUCAAAGGCCAGGCUCCCGGGAGAAGCUAGCAGCGAUCCUAUUUCAGUGAAGUGCGAUUCUCUUUUCAGCAGGUAAUUUGGAGAAACAGAAAACUAUAAACAGAAGGAAAAAAAUGAGAUAAUCACUGUUAAAGCUUCCCUUUAUGCUCUCUUUUUGGAUAAAUAAAUCUAUAGAAUUAUUCCAUCUAAAGAUGGGUGCCCUCAGGAUGUGGACGUCCAAAUGAUGGGCCCAACUCUAUGCAAGCGCCACAGCAGAGCCACAAAUCCCCCACUGGUCCAUGGAUGACCAGCCUGCCUUGCCAGCAUUCCCGUGCAGAGGUUGGAAUGAGAAAAGACUGGGGUGUUAUCAUCACCCUUCACACAUCAAGUGACUAGCCCAGGAUCUUCCAUACAAGGACUGCAUAUGCAACCAUUUCUCCUGACUUCAAUCUGUCACGGAAGGGGGUUGCUGAAUACCUACUGUGGGUAGAUCCUUUUCUCUGAGGGCAACUGGCGGUGACCUGUUGUGAACUGGAGAUGGGCCCUUGCCACCCGCCUCUACAAGGAUUGAAUCAUGAGCCACUGCAGCUGCUGAUCCUCAACACCCCUGAAAGGAGCUUAGGAUGGAGAUCAGGAGUGAAGCCCUCUAUGCUCUGGGAAAACUGGCUGAACAGGUCUUCAGAUAGCUAAAUAU